GACGAACGCUGGCGGCGUGCUUAACACAUGCAAGUCGAACGGAAAGGCCCUGCUUUUGUGGGGUGCUCGAGUGGCGAACGGGUGAGUAACACGUGAGUAACCUGCCCUUGACUUUGGGAUAACUUCAGGAAACUGGGGCUAAUACCGGAUAGGAGCUCCUGCUGCAUGGUGGGGGUUGGAAAGUUUCGGCGGUUGUGGAUGGACUGGCGGCUUAUCAGCUUGUUGGUGGGGUAGUGGCUUACCAAGGCUUUGACGGGUAGCCGGCCUGGGAGGGUGACCGGCCACAUUGGGACUGAGAUACGGACCAGACUCCUACGGGACGCAGCAGUGGGGAAUAUUGCACAAUGGGCGGAAGCCUGAUGCAGCAACGCCGCGUGCGGGAUGACGGCCUUCGGGUUGUAAACCGCUUUCGCCUGUGACGAAGCGUGAGUGACGGUAAUGGGUAAAGAAGCACCGGCUAACUACGUG
RNAcentral lists this ribosomal RNA (468 nucleotides) under uncultured bacterium. Its description in RNAcentral is "partial 16S ribosomal RNA". It matches the Rfam family "Bacterial small subunit ribosomal RNA", at positions 28 to 507 of the family's 1533-position model. The record is from RNAcentral.